GUUCAAUCACGCAGUAAAAUGGCAUAGCUUCUUUAUAAAACUUAUGGAGUUCCAUCAGUAGGUAUAGAUUCAUGUCAGUUUUGGUCAAAUUUCCUCUGGUGAGCAAGUCUUUUGUUUCUUUUUUAUAUUUAUGGCCCUUCUAGUUAACAUAUAUCUAAUACCAUCUUUUCAGCAUUUGGUGUGGAUGCUGCGUUCAGCUAUAAGUAUAAUCAAUGACAUGGAAUUUGUGAUAAAGACGGGCUAGCUAUUUGCCCAGGAUUCAAAACAACUCACGAUAUUUCGAUUUGUUUUCAUAACCUUGGUAUCUACUUAGAAAGUGAAUUUCCAAAAUCAGGUGAUCAUUAUUUGUUCGUGUUUGUGAGUGCAUGCAAUAGCUUCACAAUGGUGCGAUUGCAAACAAGUUAUAAAGUAGUAAAUUAACAAAUUUGUGCCUGGAAUUUUGAAGGUUAUGUUUGGCCAGAGAACUUGAAAUCCAUGGAUUCAAAUUUAAGUUCUUAUCUCAAAUUGUAUAAUAAAAAAUUGUACGUGUAAAGUAGGAUAAAAAACCUACUUCUACCAGUAUUGCAAAGGCAAUGUUGGAACUCACCUAAGUGCUUGAAGAAGCCGAGUUGCAGGCAAGGUUACUUCAGCUAGGCAAUGCCUAUGUGAGCACAUGGGCUGAGGCACUAUGCGCCUAGGUGCUUGAGGCACUUGCUUCAUUCACUUGAUGCUAUUUGUUUAAUUUUCUUUUCUAUCAUUAAUUCACCACUAAAUCAUGGGUUGAUUGGGUAGAUGUUCCUGAUAAUGUAAAAAGCAACAUCUCUGUUUGUCUUUCUUUCAUAUUUUGGCUUGCACUGUUUGCAGUAUUGCUUUAGCAUGUGCUGCACAUAUAUAGGUUAAUGGACAUUACAUUACUGCAGAAUUGACUUGUUACAUUUUUUUUAUUACUAAUUAUUUCAUUACUAUAAACAGCAUUAUUUGUUGAGAUGUUUGCUUAAACAUAUUUUUGUUUAUUCGUAUAAUGCCACUUGAAUUCCAAAUCUAUUUGAUUUUCAGGUUCCAUGCUCAAACAAAUCUAUUUGUUUCUAUUGCUGAUUAGAAACUAUGAAUAGGAUAAGUGUAGGCAAGAUUACUAUUCCUCGUUAUUUUGGGUUGCUUACCUGUGCUUCAAUCCCAGUUUAUUGAUGGAGAACCUGUCUAUAUAGGAUGCUGCCGAACAAAUAUUGGUGGAUACCGUGUUACUGGUUAUCUGAAGCAACUUCUUUCACU
This 1248-nucleotide unclassified non-coding RNA is filed under the name Hevea brasiliensis (rubber tree). Lineage: Eukaryota; Viridiplantae; Streptophyta; Magnoliopsida; Malpighiales; Euphorbiaceae. The record is from RNAcentral.